Long non-coding RNA from Musa acuminata AAA Group (dessert banana), 1402 nucleotides. RefSeq lists it as uncharacterized. The record is from RefSeq and is a predicted model, not a curated record. NCBI's taxonomy places the organism in Eukaryota, Viridiplantae, Streptophyta, Magnoliopsida, Zingiberales, Musaceae. The transcript is spliced from 5 exons.
GCAACUAAUCCCACGAGGACUUAAUGCAUGCAGUCGCGUAGUGAUUCGAAGAUUGACGGGGAAGUACGUAAUGUCAUUUACGGGAAGACAACUUGAUGUUUGUAUCAUUCAGCUGUAAUGUGAAAUAGGAGAGUUGAAAGGAAAAUGAUUUUUAGGGUAAGAUUGUUACAUAAUAUUUCCUCAUUUAUUCUGCGACUUUGGGUUUGUGUUGGUGGAAGAACUGAUGAAUUGACCGAUUGGUUUAAUGGUAAGAAUUUAGUGAAUUACUCUGCAAAAUCUCAUAUUUUAAUGGUGAAAAUUAAGGCUAAAAAUGUCGCCUCUCUCCGAUCGAUCCCCUCCUAAAAAUGUCGCCCGGUUCCGUUGCCCCCACCACCAUCCCAACUUCGUCUAACCUAGCCUCGUCAGAUUUAUCGAUUAGGAACUUGUGUGUCUGUUAUUUAGGGGAUUGGAAUAGUGGGGAGAUGACGGGGAAGAAGCUGAGGUUAUGGACAGCUUUGACUAUCCCGGAGGUUGACGAAGGCCGCGCCGCAAGGUGGACUUCCUCCGCCGAGAUCGUCUUUGGUCACGGAUAAGAACAUUGCAACGAGGGCUGUAUGUAUAGACCAGACAAGACGAUUGUUUGGAAGAUCAUGAUUAGUGCCCCAGGGUUCCCUGUUCUGGUGGUGGCGUUGAUGGUGAAUUUGCUCUAAGGCUGCAUACUGAGUCAGGAGCCGCAAACCAAGAGGGAAGCUACAGGAUCAUCAAACCUCACAAAAGCCCUAGGAGUGGUGUAACAUCUUGCCAGUCUGGGAUUUUGGCAGCUACAGUGGCACCGGCUAGCACUGGAAUUAUGUGAUCUGCUACCCCGUUCAUGGCCCAGCUUGGUGACAUGUCUUCUCUGCUUGUCAACCCUUCUCCACAUCGAAUUCUUCAUGUUGGGUGAGUGGCUUACAUGUCUACUGCAAGGAUAUAAAGCCAAGCGUCAUUUCCUUGUCUGUAACACCUAACUAGGAUGAAGAUGCCAUGGCGACCACAGAACAGAGAAAGCACAAACUGCUGAAAGAUCAAUGUCUCAGUCCUUUCCUGGUGUCUCUCUUCUCUGGCUUGGUUGUCCAUUGGCACCAACUUUGUUGUGUGGGAAAUCAUUCACGGGACUGCGUGCUGUUGCUGUCAUGGUUGUUGUUCCUUCUUCCUCUUGGUACUGAUGGCCGUAGAUGGCUCUCGAGGUCACUCUGCCCAUGACCAUUUAGCUUUUCUGGAAAAAAAAAGGGGCAGAGUUCUAUUGUUUCUGUGCUGUCCUCAAUGCAGCAAAAACUCAUCAUGAAUUAUUGAUCCUGAUCAUGAACAGAUCAUGAGACCUCAUGUUGUUGGAAGCUGAGAAAUCAAUCAUAACUGCAUUAAAUUGUUACAAGAUACAAUGUUG